CGACUGCUAAUACCGGAUGUGCCGAGAGGUAAAAGGCUUGCUGCCUGAAGAUGAGCUCGCGUCUGAUUAGCUAGUUGGUGUGGUAAGAGCGCACCAAGGCGACGAUCAGUAGCUGGUCUGAGAGGAUGAUCAGCCACACUGGGACUGAGACACGGCCCAGACUCCUACGGGAGGCAGCAGUGGGGAAUUUUCCGCAAUGGGCGAAAGCCUGACGGAGCAAUACCGCGUGAGGGAGGAAGGCUCUUGGGUUGUAAACCUCUUUUCUCAAGGAAUAACAAAAUGAAGGUACUUGAGGAAUAAGCAUCGGCUAACUCCGUGCCAGCAGCCGCGGUAAUACGGAGGAUGCAAGCGUUAUCCGGAAUGAUUGGGCGUAAAGGGUCCGCAGGUGGCAGUGUAAGUCUGCUGUUAAAGAAUGAGGCUCAACCUCAUCAAGGCAGUGGAAACUACACAGCUAGAGUACGGUCGGGGUAGAAGGAAUUCCUGGUGUAGCGGUGAAAUGCGUAGAGAUCAGGAAGAACACCGGUGGCGAAAGCGUUCUGCUAGGCCUGUACUGACACUGAGGGACGAAAGCUAGGGGAGCGAAUGGGAUUAGAUA
Molecule: ribosomal RNA, 595 nt
Filed under: Nostoc sp. Am8
Lineage: Bacteria; Bacillati; Cyanobacteriota; Cyanophyceae; Nostocales; Nostocaceae
Description: bacterial SSU rRNA
Rfam family: Bacterial small subunit ribosomal RNA
Source: RNAcentral